CAAAAACACAAAGAAGUAGUCGUUGGCAGUUCAAAACUCAGGCUCGCUUCAACAUUAUUAAAUGUGUAGAAAACAAAUCAUAAGGAUAUGUAAUGGCAAGAAU
This is a long non-coding RNA of Sander lucioperca (pikeperch), 103 nucleotides long. RefSeq lists it as uncharacterized. The record is from RefSeq and is a predicted model, not a curated record. NCBI's taxonomy places the organism in Eukaryota, Metazoa, Chordata, Actinopteri, Perciformes, Percidae. The transcript is spliced from 3 exons.